Molecule: transfer RNA, 89 nt
Filed under: uncultured Actinomycetes bacterium
Lineage: Bacteria; Bacillati; Actinomycetota; Actinomycetes
Description: uncultured actinobacterium tRNA-Asp
Source: RNAcentral
UCGCGUCAGGCGCCCCGCCGGGUCAGGCAUGCGGCGCUGUCGCCGCGGCCGUAGACGAGCCCCUGAGUUCGAUGCUCAGCCACGUGAGC